Molecule: unclassified non-coding RNA, 312 nt
Filed under: air metagenome
Description: partial contains small subunit ribosomal RNA, internal transcribed spacer 1, and 5.8S ribosomal RNA
Rfam family: Eukaryotic small subunit ribosomal RNA (bases 1-46)
Source: RNAcentral
AAGUCGUAACAAGGUUUCCGUAGGUGAACCUGCGGAAGGAUCAUUAUUGAAUUUUGAAGCGGGACGCUUGAGCUGGCACUGCAGGUGCUCAGCGGCUCCAUUCAUUCCAAUUCAAACACCUGUGCACCUCGAGAACACGUGAGUUGGGUUAUUGGAUCUGUGGUUCAGUUAUUCACUUAUUUGGGUUGAACUUAGUGAAAGUGGCCCGCUUUCGUUUCUUAUUACAAACUCGUUAUAUUGUUUUGUAGAAUGUAUCGCCUUGAAUUAGGCAAAGUCUAAAUACAACUUUCAACAACGGAUCUCUUGGCUCUC